UGAGAGGAACACCUGGCUUGUGACUUA
Molecule: non-coding RNA, 27 nt
Filed under: Rattus norvegicus (Norway rat)
Lineage: Eukaryota; Metazoa; Chordata; Mammalia; Rodentia; Muridae
Source: RNAcentral